UGACAUGAAUCACAGUUGUUUCCCUGCCU
RNAcentral lists this non-coding RNA (29 nucleotides) under Mus musculus (house mouse). Lineage: Eukaryota; Metazoa; Chordata; Mammalia; Rodentia; Muridae. The record is from RNAcentral.